RNAcentral lists this ribosomal RNA (114 nucleotides) under Pararhodospirillum photometricum DSM 122. Lineage: Bacteria; Pseudomonadati; Pseudomonadota; Alphaproteobacteria; Rhodospirillales; Rhodospirillaceae. The record is from RNAcentral.
UAACGACAUCAUCAGACGGCUUCGAUGGCUUGGUGGUCAUGGCGAACAGGAAACACCCGAUCCCAUCCCGAACUCGGCCGUGAAACUGUUCAGCGCCAAUGGUACUGCGUCUUA